AACACCAUUUUGGUUUUGGAUGAAUCCAACACCAUUUUGGUUUUGGAUGUAUCCAACACCAUUUUGGUUUUGGAUGUAUCCAACACCAUUUUGGUGUUGGAUGCGUCCAAAACCAUUUUGGUUUUGGAUGAAUCCAACACCAUUUUGGUUUUGGAUGCAUCCAACACCAUUUUGGUCUUGGAAGUAUCCAACACCAUUUUGGUCUUGGAUGUGCCAAACCAUUUUGGUUUUGGA
Non-coding RNA from Paramuricea clavata, 234 nucleotides. Lineage: Eukaryota; Metazoa; Cnidaria; Anthozoa; Malacalcyonacea; Plexauridae. The record is from the annotation of a GenBank genome assembly.